Molecule: ribosomal RNA, 241 nt
Filed under: uncultured bacterium
Lineage: Bacteria
Description: partial 16S ribosomal RNA
Rfam family: Bacterial small subunit ribosomal RNA
Source: RNAcentral
UGGGUAACCUGCCUCAAAGAGGGGAAUAGCCUCCCGAAAGGGAGAUUAAUACCGCAUAAUAUGUUUAAGUCGCAUGACUUUAACAUCAAAGGAUUUUCUUUUAGAACUUCCACUUUGAGAUGGACCCGCGGCGCAUUAGCUAGUUGGUGAGGUAACGGCUCACCAAGGCAACGAUGCGUAGCCGACCUGAGAGGGUGAUCGGCCGCAUUGGAACUGAGACACGGUCCAGACUCCUAGGAGG